GAAGAAGGAGAACCAAAAUGGAGGCUGACAUGUUUUUAUCCAAAGAGACUCUGGUGCUGUGUGACCCCUGACUGUAACCAAGUGUCAUUCUCUCCGCGACGUUCCCUCAGAGCUUGUGCUGACAGACAGCCCUCACCUCCACGUCCACUAACUUUUCCACACGAGGGGUUCUCUGCUCCAUCUGAGCUGCACAAUUCCACCAGGCCUUUUGCUCCUAUUCAGUCAGGUGCUUUGGAGGUGAGCAGAACCACACCCAACUAGAACAUCUCUAAGUAUCUACUAAGUUUCAGGACCCGGGGAACCCCACAGAUAACCCCCUCUCGACAUUUUUUGCUCAAAGACCCCAUAACUUGAGAAUCAUUGUAGUAACUUCAGACUGGUUAAAACAUCUUUCUAAUUGCUUGUGGCUGAGCUCUAUGAAGAGAUCAGUCCUCUGCUCUAACAUUUAGAUGCUACUG
RNAcentral lists this long non-coding RNA (458 nucleotides) under Mus pahari (shrew mouse). Its description in RNAcentral is "lncRNA (MGP_PahariEiJ_G0005695.1)". Lineage: Eukaryota; Metazoa; Chordata; Mammalia; Rodentia; Muridae. The record is from RNAcentral.